This 192-nucleotide long non-coding RNA is filed under the name Struthio camelus australis. Its description in RNAcentral is "lncRNA (ENSSCUG00000018619.1)". The record is from RNAcentral. Lineage: Eukaryota; Metazoa; Chordata; Aves; Struthioniformes; Struthionidae.
CUUGCAAACUAAGAGGCUUUCAUUUUUUGAAAAUAGGUUGAAGGUUUAAGCCGAAGAUCGGCUGGGUUCUCUACUGUGGACUUCCCAUCUCAAGGAUGGCUCAUCUCACGGUGAAUCAUGAACUUGGGGCUUUCACAUCCAGACUUGGCACUGGAGAGGAAAACCUCUGUGGACCACCACAUGAAUGAACUC